CAGUGGGGUCCAUUAGACCCCAGUGAGGUCCAUUAGACCCCAGUGGGGUCCAUUAGACCACAGUGGGGUCCAUUAGACCCCAGUGGGGGCCAUUAGACCCCAGUGGGGUCCAUUAGACCCCAGUGCACAGUGGAAACAAAUCAGACAUUUUCUUAUCCUAGGUAAUUUACAUGUAUUACUAUGUAUGAUAAUUUGUGUAACUGCACCUGGAGUUUACCUAAAUAAACUUGCACUUGUGCAACAUUUAGGAAUCUUUACUGAGGAAAUAAGUGGAACAACCUCCCGAGUACUGUUAUUGAAGCUAAAACAUUGUGUAGUUUUAAAAAUAGGUUAGAUAAAUACAUGAGUGGGUGUGAGUUGGACCUGACUAGCUUGGGUCAGUGGCUUAGGCCGGUAGGUGAUUUGGACCUCCUUCAUAUGGGCAGUAAGCCUGCUGCAGUGUUCCUUCUUAUGUUUCACCUGCCAGUGGCUACUGGGUUCCAGCAUAAAAUUUUCCAGAUGUUGCACAACUGUGUCAUUCUUCAACUUGUUAGUUUUCUAAACCAUUUACAUCAUUGUUAAUUUUGUAGGAUAAUCCUACAAAGCACUCAAAAGCACUAACUUAAUAUAUCUUAACCUAAAUUAUGUUAAUGUAUGUUUUAAGUCACUGAAGCUGCCACUGAGCUAUGGUGUUCCGUAUCUUGAUUGGUAGCAUACCGAGGUCUGUGGUUCAAUCCCCAGUAUGGGUGGAAACACUACCACAUGUUUCCUUAAGACACCUGCUGACCCUGUUUACCUAGCAGUAAAGUAGGUACCUGGAUAUUAGUUACCUGAUGGUAAUUUGAUAACUCAUACUUUACCUGUCAUCAUAUAGACUAGAUAAGUCGUGUUUAAGGCACAACAUGUUAAUAUAAAGGCGUGCUUUGCUUCAUGUGUUUCACAUUCUCAGCCUAAAAUUUUUUAAACAUUUACAGCUGGGCUUUAAAUAAUAAGAUAUUAAAAGGACUCCAGUGGAAAUAAGUCACUGUCUGACUUUUGGCUUGUGUGUACUAAUUAAUAUACACAUGUUGCUAUGUACGAUGAUUGCGUUUGUGCACCUGUACCUAAAUACUUACUGAGAUAUGAAAGACGGAAUUGAUGUGCCGAACAUCACUAUAAUAAAUGCUUAUGUUAUUAAAUGUGCUGAAUAUUUGAUAUCCUUGCUAAUGCAUCAUAGUUAAUGGUCUCAGAGUAGGUAUGUGUAGACAAAAUUUUUCGCAUAAAAUGGAUUUUAAAAUUAUUGUAUGUAAGUACAGUGCAUUAUUAUUAUAAUCAAAAGGAAGCGCCAAACCUUAUGUACAGUACAGUACAUUUGUAUAAUGAUUUGGAGUAGUUAUUAACUUCACUGAUGGUGGUGGUGCUGCUGCUGCUGUGGGGAAGGACUAAAGGAACUAAAGCCCCACAUAAUAAUACAAGUACAUGUACAGGGUAUACAGGCCUAGCUGACAUCAGUGACAUGCUACUAUAUAGAAAGCCCCUUGUUAUGCAGAGUGUUUCAGGCAGACUAGGUCAUGUUUCCACCUGUACUGGGGAUUGACCCUCGGACCUCAGUGUGAGAGCUGAGUGCACUAGCAAUCAAGCUAUGGGAUAUGUACAAAUACUUCCUGGCCCAGUGGCUAACUUGUAGGUCUGGAGCUUUAUGAUUCUCUGACCGCUGGUUCUAUUCCCGCCUGUGAUAUGGUUUGUUUGCCAUCGUGUCAUUACAAUUUUGUGAGUAACUUCCUGCAUUUUUCCAAUUAAUGGUUUAUUUUAACUUGUAUUGCCCAGUAACCAUGAAAGCAUGAAUUUAAUAAAUUUUGCAGUGAUUUUUUAAAUUUCUUAGAAAUUUUCUGCAUGUGAUUUUUAAGCCCAUCCCAGAUUGAAAUCAUGGCUCAAGUCUUCACCCUUUCCUCCUUCCCAUCAGGUUAAAUUCUGGUUGCUCCGCUAAUACGUGUGUAUUAGGCAAGUAAAAUACUACUUGGGUUAUCCUAGGUAAUUUAUUGUGCAUGAUAAUUGUACUUGUGUGUACUACUACCUAAAUAAACUUACACCACUCCAGCAGACUUUCUUCAACCUGUUCAACAUGUUGCCUAAAUUACUUGAACUGCUGCUAUUGCAUUAUACAUGGGGAAGCACUAAACCCAUAGGGGUCAUACAGUGCCUUUAGAAUGGGAGGAAAAUCAGGUUUGAUCCAGGGAAGAAUGGGUAACUCCACUUCCUUUGAUCAAGAGCCCUUCACGAGCAAAAAGACACCAUGUUUUCUUGUUUCAUUUCACACAUUGCUGUUAAUAUUUUGAAAAUAUUCGUGCUUAUUAUUCCCAUAAAAAUUUGACGGGCGUAUGUAUUUUUCUUUCAGAAUCUCCCCUUCCAAAUCGAGAACAGAAUUCGCUUCACUGCAACAUACGUGUUAUUCUUUGGCUCCGGUUUGGCCUUGCCGUUCAUUCUUGUUCGUCAUCAGUUACUCAAGAAGUGAACACUGAUGGUUCUAUAUAUAUUGUACAGUACAUGGCUUAUUUAAGAUAAUGGCAGGGUGUUCUGUUAGAAAAUCAAAGGUAAAGUGUUGAUGUAAAUGUUUAAAUAAAAGGAAAGACCAUAUUA
Cherax quadricarinatus is the source of this 2595-nucleotide non-coding RNA. NCBI's taxonomy places the organism in Eukaryota, Metazoa, Arthropoda, Malacostraca, Decapoda, Parastacidae. The record is from RefSeq and is a predicted model, not a curated record.